UACGAAGGGGGCUAGCGUUGUUCGGAAUUACUGGGCGUAAAGCGCGCGCAGGCGGUCUUCCAAGUCAGUGGUGAAAGCCCGGAGCUCAACUCCGGAACUGCCAUUGAAACUGUAAGACUUGAGGAUGAGAGAGGUGAGUGGAAUUCCCAGUGUAGAGGUGAAAUUCAUAGAUAUUGGGAAGAACACCGGUGGCGAAGGCGGCUCACUGGCUCAUAUCUGACGCUCAGGCGCGACAGCGUGGGGAUCAAACAGG
Molecule: ribosomal RNA, 253 nt
Filed under: uncultured bacterium
Lineage: Bacteria
Description: partial 16S ribosomal RNA
Rfam family: Bacterial small subunit ribosomal RNA
Source: RNAcentral